CUACAGUUCUAUAAGUGUUCCACCAGUUAGCAAGUCAUACAUGUUUUGAGUUUCGUAGUUCCUACUAGGACGUUAACGUGGCAAUAGCUCUCAUCAUUGAGACAGGGUGAUGGGAGAAGAAUGGACAACUGAGCGGUGAUGAGGAGCGAAAUUGAGGCCCAUAAAAGAUGUGCACACAUAGGAGGUCCUGUGAAAACAAUUGAGACCCCCCCGAAUGUCAAGAUGGCAUGAGAAAAUGUGAAACUAGAGGAAGAAAAAACAUUUUUUACAAACAUGUCGCUGUUGAAGGUAAUGUAUUGUAAUGAAGCUGGUAAAUCAGGUUUUGGCAACAGUAACGUGUUUGACAUAACAAGACAGAGUACCGAACGAGGAUGAGAGGUCCUUCGACACUUACUGCAGUUUGUGUUGAAUCAAACCAGUUUUAUCCGGAAACAAGUCAAUGAAGUAUAGACACUUUGAGAACCUUGUUACUGCACCAUCUCCUGAUCAUUAUAUUUCAUGUAUGACUCUGGGUGCUUGUAUUUCCUGCUGUGAUUACCACCACACUAUACAUAGGGUUGAGGAGCAGGGUUUUCCAUUCUGGACUACUUUGGCUGGAAUUCAACGCAACCCACCAUAGCACAAUUACAGUCUUUGUCUACAACCUACUGGAUAGUCUACAUGUAAUAAUCUACGAUGUACGCCUGGUUCAAUAGAAUUGAGCCCUUUUGUAUUGUCCAGCAGUUGUAUUUCUUGAAUGGUCUAUACCUGCUCAGUGCAGCCUCAGUGUUUGUACAGAUGUACAGUGGGCUCCAUAAGUAUUGAGACAGUGACACAUUUGUUGUUGUUUUGGCUCAGUACUCCAGCACUUUGGAUUUGAAAUUAUAUUUAUGCCUCUAACUUUCUCACUCAUCAUUAUUCACAAUUCAUUCAAGAUUAUCCGUAAUCAUGGUAGCAUCCACAUUAAUGUAGAAGUGUUCAGAAACAUAUUCUAUUCUUAUUUACAAUAAAAGUGACUCCAAAAAGACAUUAUUUACCAUUCAUUUCUAUUGGGCACAAAAUAACCUGAAACACAACCAAAACAAACAGCAAAUGCAUCCAACUACUGUGUAGAGUCACAAGCUUGAUGUAGUCAGUGCGUGCUAGGAAUAUGGGGCCAAAUACAAAACUUUUGAAUACUUUAAUACACAUUAGUGAAUUUGUCCCAAUACUUUUGUACAAAAAGUGCUGUAAUUUGUAAACGGUUCAACCGAUAUGGAUUAAAAUAACCUCCAAAUUAAAGCUGAC
This 1266-nucleotide long non-coding RNA is filed under the name Salmo salar (Atlantic salmon). RNAcentral describes it as "lncRNA (ENSSSAG00000087085.1)". Lineage: Eukaryota; Metazoa; Chordata; Actinopteri; Salmoniformes; Salmonidae. The record is from RNAcentral.